CCGCCCAUACUAAGGACUAGCAAAAUAUCUUUGCUUUGAGAAAACCCGCACUUUUGGAAAGAAAAAGAGAGAAUCGGCUUGGAAGCAAAGAGAGAAAGGAAAAAAGGAGAAAGGAAGAAAGGAAGAAAGAAAGAAAGAAAGGAGAAGGAAGAAAAAGACAAGGAAGGUUCGUGUUGGUGGAUCCAAUCUACGGAAGGUCCUCCAAGAAUUGAAAGAAAUAGAUGCAUGCUUGUGGGUCAAUCUUUGAAUCCAUGGUGAUUUUGAGCUAGAUAAGUUAUGGCGAUGGUGACCAUGGAUGUGAAGAAAUUAUGAACUAGGUGUAUGGAACUCAAGCUAAAACUGAAAGAUGAGCAUGCUAUGUGAGUAUAGUAUAUUGUGUUGACUAUAGUUGGUUGAGAGUGUGUGGAUUGGGUGUUCAAUGAUUGUGGAUAAUAUUGAUGAAAACUAUAAAAUUUGAUUAAGGAAUUGUUGAUUUAUGUGUUGCCCGUGUAUGAGCACAAUCAAGUGUAUUGGGUUUGAAUGGUUACUAUGAGGUGUAUAAGUAGAGAGAGUGUGAAGUGGUGGCGUAUCGGACGAGGUAAUGGGUGACCGACAAGUAAAAUUAACUAGAUACGCAUUCGAGUCAAUAGCGAUGUAGUAUCCCGUUAUUGUACGGUGAGUAGGGGGUGCCUAUUUCAAAAUC
Molecule: non-coding RNA, 682 nt
Organism: Theobroma cacao (cacao)
Lineage: Eukaryota; Viridiplantae; Streptophyta; Magnoliopsida; Malvales; Malvaceae
Source: RefSeq, a predicted model, not a curated record